UACGUAGGGGGCAAGCGUUGUCCGGAAUCAUUGGGCGUAAAGCGCGUGUAGGCGGUUCGAUCAGUCUGCUGUGAAAGUCCGGGGCUCAACCCCGGAAAGCCGGUGGAUACUGUCGAGCUAGAGUGCGGAAGAGGCGAGUGGAAUUCCUGGUGUAGCGGUGAAAUGCGCAGAUAUCAGGAGGAACACCAAUUGCGAAGGCAGCUCGCUGGGACGUUACUGACGCUGAGACGCGAAAGCGUGGGGAGCGAACAGG
Molecule: ribosomal RNA, 253 nt
Filed under: uncultured bacterium
Lineage: Bacteria
Description: partial 16S ribosomal RNA
Rfam family: Bacterial small subunit ribosomal RNA
Source: RNAcentral